GACGAACGCUGGCGGCGUGCUUAACACAUGCAAGUCGAACGGUAAGGCCCUUCGGGGUACACGAGUGGCGAACGGGUGAGUAACACGUGGGUGAUCUGCCCUGCACUUCGGGAUAAGCCUGGGAAACUGGGUCUAAUACCGGAUAGGACCACUGCCUGCAUGGGGGGUGGUGGAAAGCUUUUGCGGUGUGGGAUGGGCCCGCGGCCUAUCAGCUUGUUGGUGGGGUGAUGGCCGACCAAGGCGACGACGGGUGGCCGGCCUGAGAGGGUGACCGGCCACACUGGGACUGAGAUACGGCCCAGACUCCUACGGGAGGCAGCAGUGGGGAAUAUUGCACAAUGGGCGCAAGCCUGAUGCAGCGACGCCGCGUGAGGGAUGACGGCCUUCGGGUUGUAAACCUCUUUCAGCACCGACGAAGCGCAAGUGACGGUAGGUGCAGAAGAAGGACCGGCCAACUACGUGCCAGCAGCCGCCGUAA
RNAcentral lists this ribosomal RNA (478 nucleotides) under uncultured bacterium. Its description in RNAcentral is "partial 16S ribosomal RNA". It matches the Rfam family "Bacterial small subunit ribosomal RNA", at positions 28 to 523 of the family's 1533-position model. The record is from RNAcentral.